GGGAUUGCCCUAGUAACGGCGAGUGAAGCGGCAACAGCUCAAAUUUGAAAUCUGGCGCAAGCCCGAGUUGUAAUUUGUAGAGGAUGCUUCUAGGUAGCGACCGGUCUAAGUUCCUUGGAACAGGACGUCAUAGAGGGUGAGAAUCCCGUAUGUGACCGGCCCGCACCUUCUACGUAGCUCCUUCGACGAGUCGAGUUGUUUGGGAAUGCAGCUCUAAAUGGGAGGUAAAUUUCUUCUAAAGCUAAAUACCGGCCAGAGACCGAUAGCGCACAAGUAGAGUGAUCGAAAGAUGAAAAGCACUUUGGAAAGAGAGUUAAAAAGCACGUGAAAUUGUUGAAAGGGAAGCGCUUACAACCAGACUUCUGGGCGGUGUUCCGCCGGUCUUCUGACCGGUCUACUCACCGUCCCGAGGCCAACAUCAUCUGGGACCGCCGGAUAAGACCUUAGGAAUGUAGCUCCCCUCGGGGAGUGUUAUAGCCUGUGGUGAUGCGGCGCGUCUCGGGUGAGGUCCGCGCUUCGGCAAGGAUGUUGGCGUAAUGGUUGUCAGCGGCCCGUCUUGAAACACGGACCAAGGAGUCUAACAUCUAUGCGAGUGUUCGGGUGUCAAACCCCUACGCGUAAUGAAAGUGAACGGAGGUGGGAAGGGUAACCUGCACCAUCGACCGAUCCUGAUGUCCUCGGAUGGAUUUGAGUAAGAGCAUAGCUGUUGGGACCCGAAAGAUGG
Molecule: ribosomal RNA, 724 nt
Filed under: Ramularia eucalypti
Lineage: Eukaryota; Fungi; Ascomycota; Dothideomycetes; Mycosphaerellales; Mycosphaerellaceae
Description: eukaryotic LSU rRNA
Rfam family: Eukaryotic large subunit ribosomal RNA
Source: RNAcentral